AAAGCAUCUAAGUGUGAAGCCCCCCUCGAGAUGAGAUUUCCCAUUCCUAUAUGGAAGUAAGACCCCUGAGAGAUGAUCAGGUAGAUAGGCUGGAAGUGGAAGUGCAGCGAUGCAUGGAGCGGACCAGUACUAAUCGGUCGAGGACUUAACCAA
Molecule: ribosomal RNA, 153 nt
Filed under: Lacticaseibacillus paracasei
Lineage: Bacteria; Bacillati; Bacillota; Bacilli; Lactobacillales; Lactobacillaceae
Description: Lactobacillus paracasei partial 23S ribosomal RNA
Rfam family: Bacterial large subunit ribosomal RNA
Source: RNAcentral